This 254-nucleotide ribosomal RNA is filed under the name uncultured prokaryote. RNAcentral's name for it is "partial 16S ribosomal RNA". It matches the Rfam family "Bacterial small subunit ribosomal RNA", at positions 525 to 777 of the family's 1533-position model. The record is from RNAcentral.
ACGGGGGGAGCAAGCGUUGUUCGGAUUUACUGGGCGUAAAGGGCGCGUAGGCGGUCAGCACAAGUCAGUUGUGAAAUCUCCGGGCUUAACUCGGAAAGGUCAACUGAUACUGUGCGACUAGAGUGCGGAAGGGGCAACUGGAAUUCUCGGUGUAGCGGUGAAAUGCGUAGAUAUCGAGAGGAACACCUGCGGCGAAGGCGGCGCUCUGGAACGUAUCUGACGCUGAGACACGAAAGCGUGGGGAGCAAACAGGA